This is a long non-coding RNA of Papaver somniferum (opium poppy), 145 nucleotides long. RefSeq lists it as uncharacterized. The record is from RefSeq and is a predicted model, not a curated record. The transcript has 3 exons. NCBI's taxonomy places the organism in Eukaryota, Viridiplantae, Streptophyta, Magnoliopsida, Ranunculales, Papaveraceae.
UUAUUCGACAGUUGCAGGGGGAUCCAUGGUUCAUCCGAAUGUUCCAUGCAUGCUGUUCACACCCAUCUGCCCACAUUCCCUCUCUUUCAGACCUGUGAUCCUCCCAGACUCUGCACAACUAGAAUUGAAGAUACCUGCAGAGACC